Zingiber officinale is the source of this 955-nucleotide long non-coding RNA. RefSeq lists it as uncharacterized. The record is from RefSeq and is a predicted model, not a curated record. Lineage: Eukaryota; Viridiplantae; Streptophyta; Magnoliopsida; Zingiberales; Zingiberaceae. The transcript is spliced from 3 exons.
UUUAUCCCCCGCGUACCCUAUUUCUCUUUUCUUCCUUCUCCCGUCGUCGAACUUGCCCGAUUCUUCUCCUCCCUUCUCUUCUUCACCUCUUCGGCUCCUCCACCCGACGGUGCCACCGCCACCCUCCUCCUCCCCUUCUUCUUCCCCAUCUCCUCAUCCCGUCUCUGCCCUAGCCUCUGCCCCGAUUUCCCUUUCUCUGCGUCUUCAUCGCCACCGACGAGCAGGGAGCAACGCCAAGCGAAGGUUUCCUCCCCUAGCCGAUGUCGUCUCUGUGUUGAAGACCAAAUUGGUGAUGCCACCGGUCGAGGUACCAAAGGGGCUCUCGGUAGCCAAGCUUCUGAUCGUGCCAUAGAGUUGCCUUCGGGUCGCCUCUUUCUUUUCUAGCACCGGCUCACUGUGCUAGCAUCUCCCGUGUCCUAGCACCGGCACAAUUCCAGUGUUGGGCCUCACAAUGUAGUCUGACCGAGAGGAAUCUAUGGACACGGUUUAGGGCUUCGGCCACCAAUUUCGGCAGUGAGUACUUUUGGCUAGCAAAUUCCAGCAUCUGAUCAGAUCUGCUGCCAUCACCGAAGAAGAGGAAAGUUAGGGAAAGAUCCUUGUUAACUUCAACAGUGAUGUGGAUUUAGGUAAAUUAUUGUUAGAAUUCCUAACUAGUUAGAUUUGGGAUUGUUUUGCAAAUGGCAGUAGAGGGUUGAGUGCAGUUGCUUGGUUCCAGCUUUGGACCCAGCCGCUAUAGCUCCGGCUGUGAGCAACAGCACGAACGGAUUUUUGAGUUGAGGCCGUCAGGAGGUUCCAGUUGCUAGUCCCCUAGUCACGAGAGUUUAUGUAUUAGUCUUGUGGUUUUCUGUUUGUUUCGGACUUAUAUUGGUUUUGCACUUUGGAUUGUAUGAUUUUUCUUAAGACAUUGUGAUGGUUGGAUUUUUUCUUGUUUAGUAGAUUUGUAAUUGUUAUGUUU